Myodes glareolus (Bank vole) is the source of this 1017-nucleotide long non-coding RNA. RefSeq lists it as uncharacterized. The record is from RefSeq and is a predicted model, not a curated record. NCBI's taxonomy places the organism in Eukaryota, Metazoa, Chordata, Mammalia, Rodentia, Cricetidae.
CAUGGGAAACAAAAAAGAUUCUGGUAUCUUUAAAUACUUGUUUAUAUUUUCAUUUCUAAAUGAACUAUUAUGCUGAGACCAAAUUGUGUAUGUUAUUUCUCCUGGUUUUAAUAACUUUGCAUUUACAGACUCAAAAUGUCUUCCGUCAUAGAUUGUGGCAUGUCAUCAUGGGCCUCUCUGCUCUUCACCUUCACACCACUGCAAGACUGCACCCAGCCCGCAGCUCGUAUGCUGUCUCCUCCUACUCAUCUGCUAAUUCUCGAGUCCUGUCAAGCGAAUCUCCUCCCACUUUGUUGGCUUGGCUUGUUGUGACCAAUGUGUCCUUUUAUCUGGAUCUUGCACCACCAUGGCUCUCCUGCACCAUCUCUUUGCCCCCCUGAAGUCCUUCCAGUUGAUUCAGUUGGGAGAGUUGCAGAAAUGCACCAGACCGAACCUGUCCCGGUCACACUGGCAUCGCUUCUUCAGCAUCCCUUCCCACUGGAGAGGAGAUGGCAGCGGAAAUCCCUGUAUCAACUGUGUGAACCAGCCCUUCCCACUAGAGAGAAUAUGCCAGCGGAAAUCCCUACUGUCCUUACAGUCAUGGAUGGAUUUUACUUCAGAACGCUCGGACAGACUUUUAAUGCUUUAUCAUUUUGGACUUUGAAACACAUAUGUCGGUAUCCACUUAUCUGUGGGAAACACCCCCUAAAAGAAACAAAUUAUUCUUCCACCUCCAGCAGCUAUCAACUGCCAUUAGCUCCCCAGGAAGAGACAGCACGGCAAAGCUCUUUCCCAUCCACGCAGGAGUUCUGGCUCGCUUGGUCUUGUGCAGGUCCACAGGGCUUCUGCGAGGUCUUGAUGUGGUAGCCGCGUCCUGCCCAGGAGACAGUCCUGCACUCCUGCCCGGCCUCCUUUGGCUUUAUGUUUAAAGCAUGCUAUCUGUAAACAAAUUUUCCUAAUAAGAUUGUAAAAUGUUAUGGGUUUUCUAGCUAACCACAAAGAACCACAUGAGACUGAUGAAUUACAAAUAAGUUCAAA